This 253-nucleotide ribosomal RNA is filed under the name uncultured prokaryote. RNAcentral describes it as "partial 16S ribosomal RNA". It matches the Rfam family "Bacterial small subunit ribosomal RNA", at positions 524 to 776 of the family's 1533-position model. The record is from RNAcentral.
UACGGGGGGAGCAAGCGUUGUUCGGAUUUACUGGGCGUAAAGCGCGCGCAGGCGGUCUUGUAAGUCGGACGUGAAAUCCCGGGGCUCAACCUCGGACGUGCGUCUGAUACUGCGAGACUGGAGUACUGGAGAGGAGAGCGGAAUUCCCGGUGUAGAGGUGAAAUUCGUAGAUAUCGGGAGGAACACCAGUGGCGAAGGCGGCUCUCUGGACAGAUACUGACGCUGAGGCGCGAAAGCGUGGGAAGCAAACAGG